GAUGAAGAACGCAGCGAAAUGCGAUAAGUAAUGUGAAUUGCAGAAUUCAGUGAAUCAUCGAAUCUUUGAACGCACAUUGCGCCCGCCAGCACUCUGGCGGGCAUGCCUGUUCGAGCGUCAUUUCAACCAUCAAGCCCCCAGGGGCUUGUGCUGGGGCCCUGCGGCUGCCCGCAGGCCCUGAAAACCAGUGGCGGGCUCGCUAGUCACACCGAGCGCAGUAGCACAUCUCGCUCAGGGCGUGCGGCGGUCUCCUGCCGUGAAACCCCCCACUGUAACCCCAAAGGUUGACCUCGGAUCAGGUAGGAAUACCCGCUGAACUUAAGCAUAUCAAUAAGCGGAGGA
RNAcentral lists this unclassified non-coding RNA (342 nucleotides) under soil metagenome. RNAcentral's name for it is "partial contains 5.8S ribosomal RNA, internal transcribed spacer 2, and large subunit ribosomal RNA". The stretch from base 1 to 120 matches the Rfam family "5.8S ribosomal RNA", at positions 35 to 154 of the family's 154-position model. The record is from RNAcentral.